Molecule: RNase P RNA, 399 nt
Filed under: Tranquillimonas rosea
Lineage: Bacteria; Pseudomonadati; Pseudomonadota; Alphaproteobacteria; Rhodobacterales; Roseobacteraceae
Description: Roseivivax sp. BH87090 Bacterial RNase P class A
Rfam family: Bacterial RNase P class A
About the family: Ribonuclease P (RNase P) is a ubiquitous endoribonuclease, found in archaea, bacteria and eukarya as well as chloroplasts and mitochondria. Its best characterised activity is the generation of mature 5'-ends of tRNAs by cleaving the 5'-leader elements of precursor-tRNAs.
Source: Rfam by way of RNAcentral
GCGGAUGGCCGGAUGGUCGCGGCGCCCGCGUUCCGCGGGGGUCGAGGAAAGUCCGGACUCCACGAAGCAACGGUGCCGGGUAACGCCCGGGCGGGGCAACCCGACGGAAAGCGCCACAGAAAACAGACCGCCCGCGUGCGGCCGUCCCACGGUCCGCAGCGGGUAAGGGUGAAACGGUGGAGUAAGAGACCACCGCGGGCCCGGUAACGGGUCCGGCACGGCAAGCCCCACCGGGAGCAAUGCCGAAUAGGGAUCCCGCGGGCCUUCGCGCCCAGGGCAGCUUCGGCCCAGGGAUCCGGGUUGGCAGCUCGAGCCGCGCGGGCAACCGCGUGGCCAGAUGAAUGACCAUCGCCGUCCUUCGGGGCGGUACAGGAUCCGGCUUACAGGCCGUCCGCGCAC